GCCUAAAGCGGCCGUAGCCGGAUAAGUAAAUCUUCUGUGAAAUCGUUGGGCUUAACCUAACGGCGUGCAGGGGAGACUACUAAUCUUGAGACCGGGAGGAGUCAGAGGUAUUCAUGGGGUAGCGGUAAAAUGCAAUAAUCCCAAGAAGACCACCUGUGGCGGAGGCGUCUGACUAGAACGGGUCUGACGGUGAGGGACGAAAGCUGGGGGAGCGAUCCGGAUUAGAUACCCGAGUAGUCCCAGCUGUAAACUCUGCUAGCUAGGUGUUGCAUAUUCCACGAGAAUAUGCGGUGUCGAAGCGAAGGCGAUAAGCUAGCCACCUGGGUAGUACGGUCGCAAGACUGAAACUUAAAGGAAUAGGCGGGGGAGCACUACAAGGGGUGCGGCGUGCGGUUUAACCCAACUCAACGCGGAGAAUCUCACCAGAGGCGACGGCAGAAUGAAAGUCAGAUUGAAGGUCUUACUUAACAAGCCGAGAGGUGGUGCAUGGCCGUCGUCAGCUCGUGCUGUGACGGUUUAUGUGCAAACAUGAACUGCAGCAAAAGUGUCCUGUUAAGUCAGGCAACGAGCGAGACCUGUGUCUACAAUUGCCAGCGAACGAUUCACGUGAUCGGGCACAUUGUAGAAACUGCCUUGGAAACAAGGAGGAAGGUGCAGGCAACGGUAGGUCCGUAUGCCCCUAA
RNAcentral lists this ribosomal RNA (683 nucleotides) under uncultured euryarchaeote. Its description in RNAcentral is "bacterial SSU rRNA". It matches the Rfam family "Archaeal small subunit ribosomal RNA", at positions 508 to 1160 of the family's 1478-position model. The record is from RNAcentral. Lineage: Archaea; Methanobacteriati; Methanobacteriota.